This 1151-nucleotide unclassified non-coding RNA is filed under the name Hevea brasiliensis (rubber tree). The record is from RNAcentral. Lineage: Eukaryota; Viridiplantae; Streptophyta; Magnoliopsida; Malpighiales; Euphorbiaceae.
CGGGUGGAACCAGUCAGUCUCGAAGAGCUUGGAAGGCCUAGGAUUGAUGUUGUUGUCAAUUGCUCAGGAGUUUUCAGAGAUCUUUUUAUCAACCAGAUGAACCUCUUGGACCGUGCAGUGAAGAUGGUGGCUGAACUUGAUGAGCCAGCUGACCAAAACUAUGUCAGGAAGCAUGCCUUAGAACAAGCUGAAGCCCUUGGCAUUGAUGUUCGAGAAGCUGCAACUCGAGUAUUCUCUAAUGCCUCUGGAUCCUACUCCUCAAACAUAAACCUUGCAGUGGAGAAUUCUUCCUGGAAUGAUGAAAAUCAACUUCAAGACAUGUAUUUGAGCCGGAAGUCCUUUGCCUUUGAUUGUGAUGCUCCAGGUGCAGGCAUGAUGGAGAAAAGACAAGUGUUUGAGAUGGUUCUGAGCACAGCAGAUGCCACAUUCCAAAACCUUGAUUCCUCAGAAAUUUCCCUCACUGAUGUAAGCCACUACUUUGAUUCAGACCCAACAAACCUAGUGCAGAACUUGAGGAAGGAUAAAAAGAAGCCUAGUGCAUAUAUAGCAGACACAACAACUGCUAAUGCUCAGGUUCGCACACUAUCUGAGACUGUACGACUUGAUGCACGAACCAAAUUGCUGAACCCCAAGUGGUAUGAAGGAAUGAUGUCUAGUGGAUAUGAGGGUGUUCGUGAAAUUGAGAAGCGGCUAACAAAUACAGUUGGAUGGAGUGCAACCUCAGGCCAAGUCGACAACUGGGUGUAUGAAGAGGCAAACUCAACUUUCAUCCAAGAUGAGGAGAUGCUGAAUAGACUGAUAAGCACUAAUCCGAAUUCAUUUAGGAAGUUACUGCAGACAUUCUUAGAGGCCAAUGGCCGCGGGUAUUGGGAAACUUCACAGGAAAAUAUUGAGAAGUUGAGGCAGCUCUACUCAGAAGUUGAAGACAAGAUUGAAGGCAUUGAUAGGUAAACAGGAAGCCUAAGUGCAAAUAUUGAUAGACAUUGUUGAUUUAGGUGAUGAACCUGAGCUCUUCCUCUCUUGAGAUGUAAAAUUUGUUUAUAAAAAUGGGGUUGUAAUCCAAUUCCCCUUUUCAAAAUCUUUUUACUCGGUUCCUGCCAAAUUCGAAGAAGAAGGUGGCAUAAUUUGAUGACAAAUGACAAUGAUCCCAC